RNAcentral lists this long non-coding RNA (2163 nucleotides) under Triticum aestivum (bread wheat). RNAcentral describes it as "long non-coding RNA (TAES_LNC009864)". The record is from RNAcentral. Lineage: Eukaryota; Viridiplantae; Streptophyta; Magnoliopsida; Poales; Poaceae.
GUCGACCCUGACCUCCUUUGCUGCGUCUCCGGCGCGGCCUUGCAUCCCGUGCAUCACGUGACGGCCUCCUCCGCCACGCGACGGUGGUAGCCGACCUGCACUGCGACGGCUGCAUCGCCUACAAUCUUCUUCAGUGAACACUUGGACCUCUUCUCUCUCUACAACAUCUGCUUAUUUUAUUUCACGUUUUGUUCAUGAAUAUUGGUGGAACUAAUAACAACCGUGUGUAAUGCUGGAAUUUGCAUUCUCAAAAUUUAUUUGCAACAUUCGCUUGUGACUGAUCACUUUUGGUUCCUGAUCUAUAUUCGGCAUAGGUUAUAAGGCUUGUAUUUUCACUUUGAUAGCAUACCUAAGGUUAACUAGACAGAUAUCACAUGAAUUCUGUAAGUUUGAACUUUGCAUGAUUGAGCACAGGACAUCCAGGGCAGGUGAGGCCUAGGUAUUUCAUUUUAGUUGGCACGUUUCAAGUACGAGUAAUAUGGUGUCUGAUAUACUUGUUUUAGUCUUACUGAUGCAAAGAUGGAAAAUAUGUUCUUCUUAUUAUUAUCCAAAGGAUGGUCAGUGUUACACAACUUCAGGUUUCUAAUGCUAGAUCAUUAAUUCCAAGUAGUAAAUAGAUACUUGUUACUUUAUCCAUGACAAACCUCAUCAUGAAGAAAGGGAAAGUAAUGUGCGGCUGCCCAUUGUAAAUUGUUCCUUCUUAGUUCAGUUAGUAUGCAAUUGAAUCAAUUCCCUAAGAAUCCGGUUAGUAAAUUUAGACAUUUGGGAAGGCAUAGUUCUUAAAGAAUUUGGUUCAGUUGGGUCAACAUUUGCAUUUCAGUAAUAAUGAAAUGAGAUAUCCAAUUGUCACACUAAUAUCUUUGCUUUGCACACUAUAGUCAGUACAUCUCCCACCUGAUCGACGCCGAUGCCACGGUCCUCGAGCAGAACAGGGUGAGCUUCAUACCAUUCCAUUCUUGAUGCGAAUUAUUCAUGUUGUAGAUUUUGAGUUGUUCAAUGUGUGGACUGUUGUGUGGUUCCCGUAAAAAUAUAACUGUAUAGAUAUUUUUGUGUGCAUAAAAUCUGUAUUGUACAAUCUCCCUGAUAUUAUGCAUUUUAUUAAUACUCCACUAGAGUUGCUAUCUCUUGGUGUUCAUGGGUUAUGAGUCUGCCUGUACAGAUUUUGAAUUUUUCAUGUAAUAACAAGUAAUACUGCUUAGUACUCCACAAAUAAACUAUUAGUGUGGGAGGUCUCUUAGUGAAACUGUAUCAUAAUAUUUGUUAAUAUUUGGCAUGCCAUUUGAAGUUCACUUGGCAAGCAAGUAUUGUUUAGUACUGUAUUUCUUGGUCCUUUGAGAUGAACUUGUAGCAUAAACAUUGAGUUAGAUGAAAAGUCUUUCAGUGCCGAUUCUGAUUUAAACAUUGAGUUAAUAUAGUCCACAACAUUACAUAUUUUGAUUUGAAGUUAGUUUGUACAAGCCUAUGUUUAUGCCCGGUUUGUGUUAAUUAUCCCGAAGUUAGUCUGUCACUUCCUUUCACUUAAAAGAAAAUUUUAAUCCAGAAAAACCAAGUACUUGGACAGGCACGCACAACUUCCUCUCACUAAAAAAACUAAGUGCUUGUCUCUCUCACUUUUGUUCACAUUUCUUUUACAGUACAGAAAUGUUUGAUCUAAAUACCUGUAUAUGCACACAACUUCCUCUCACAAAAAAAACUAAGUACUUGUCUGUAUCAUGUUUGUUUGCUUUCUUUUUUGAGAAAUCUCAUGUUUGUUUGCUAGGCCAGAAAAUAGACAGCUCCCAGCCUGGUUAGCCCCAUGCACUUUACUGUUUGAUCGGUCCAGAACCAAUGGCUGAACCAACCGCUGCACUUUUAGAUCUGUGAUGUGUGUUUGUUACUUGUCACAUGUAGGCUAAGUCGAUUAUACUUUCAUUUGACACAAUUUUCUUUGGACUAAUUUUUCUUGUUUUCAUGUGUGUUGCCCACAUUUACUUGGUACCUUAGUAUAGUAGUGGUGUGUCCCCGGUCGAUUGCUUGGAAAAUCAACUAAUAUUACUAUCUGUAUUAAUUUCGGAGCUUGCUUUUUAACAUAUUAUAAUUUUGGAUGUGUUCUGAUUCUACACAGGGUUGGCAAUUAAUCCAUGUUACUGGAGACUGAAGUUUUUUAGCAGGAAUUACUUGGGU